GAGACCUUCUCGAGAAAUUAUGUACCUUAUAAAGUGUACCUGUUCUGCAGGCCCUAAAAGAGUUAGAACAUGUCAUUGUUUCAUCUCCUUGAGGUUUAAAUCCAAUGUUGGACUGCCAAAGACUGGCUGUUGCUAUCCCACCGUAAGUAAUCC
Molecule: long non-coding RNA, 153 nt
Organism: Telopea speciosissima
Lineage: Eukaryota; Viridiplantae; Streptophyta; Magnoliopsida; Proteales; Proteaceae
Exons: 3
Source: RefSeq, a predicted model, not a curated record